This 629-nucleotide long non-coding RNA is filed under the name Ananas comosus (pineapple). Its description in RNAcentral is "long non-coding RNA (ACOM_LNC001411)". The record is from RNAcentral. Lineage: Eukaryota; Viridiplantae; Streptophyta; Magnoliopsida; Poales; Bromeliaceae.
GCUUCUGUUCUAAUAAUAUAAUAAAAGGUUAAUUACAUACAGAUUCCUGCAAACAUAGUGAAUUGUAAAUGCAUUCCUACAAAGUUCAAUUUUCAUAUGUUAUUCCUGCCAAAGUUCUAAUAUUUUCAAAUAUGUCCACCGUUAUAGAACUGUUUGUAUUUUUAAGUAAAAUAUUAUUUUUGUCAUCACAAAUAUGUUUAUUCAAAAACUACAAUAGUAUAAUAUAAGAUGGGUAAAAAUAUCAAGUUAUCUCAUAAUCAGGGUUAACUUAUGGUUAACUAAAGUUUUCUAACGUAUUUUAAUGACAGGGACAUAUUUUAAAACAUUAUGAUUUUUGUAGAGACAGCAUAUGAAAGUUAAACUUUGUAGAAAUAUAUUGUAAUUUACUAUAUUUGCAGAGACCUAUAAUAAAUUAACCUAGUAAUAAAUUUCUUAAAAAAUAAAAAUUUUAAGCUUUUUAAUGUUUAAACAUAGAAGUUCUAAAGUAGAGUUUAUGAUUGAUAUGCGAUAAUUUAUUUUUUUUCAAAAUAAAUUUAGCUGAACUUAAAACUUCGGAUACGAAUUAUUAAAUCUUUUAUCACUUACGUCAGAGACAGUCGUUAAUAGUUCCAUAUAAAAGUUUAGAUGUG